Molecule: ribosomal RNA, 326 nt
Filed under: uncultured eukaryote
Lineage: Eukaryota
Description: partial 18S ribosomal RNA
Rfam family: Eukaryotic small subunit ribosomal RNA
Source: RNAcentral
CCCUUAGAUGUUCUGGGCCGCACGCGCGCUACACUGAUGCAUUCAACAAGCCUAGCCUUGACCGAGAGGUCCGGGUAAUCUUUGAAACUGAAUCGUGAUGGGGCUAGAUUAUUGCAAUUAUUAAUCUUCAACGAGGAAUGCCUAGUAAGCGUGAUUCAUCAAAUCGCGUUGAUUACGUCCCUGCCCUUUGUACACACCGCCCGUCGCUCCUACCGAUUGAAUGUGUUGGUGAGGAGCUCGGAUUGGCAGCAGUUGGUGGUUCGCCACCGGCUAUUGCUGAGAAGUCCUCCAAACCGCCCCAUUUAGAGGAAGGAGAAGUCGUAACA